GCUUAACAUGUUCAAACAUGCAGCUCCCUGCCUUUUACAAGACCAGAGUUCAUCUGCUGACUUCAGCAUCUACACAUUGUAAAACACUUCUUACCACCUUUAUCUAAGGUAACACGUGAGCAUUUCGGAUCUUGGUGAUAGCAAGUCAGAGAGGGUAGCUGCAUUAAUGGAAAAGAGGACAGGGCAGGGAGCAUAGAAAAGAUUUCAAAGGAAUAUUGUUUAUACUUACAACUUUCAAACUGCAGCUUGGAACUUCAGUGCAAAUCGCUUUGAGAGAUGAAACAAAGUUAAAAAAAGAAUGGAGACCUGUUAAGUUUAUGCUUUGAAAAGGAGAGCUGCUGCUGUGCAUGGUGCCUACAUCCUUUAAUAGCAGGAGAUAGACUGUUCAAGGAGGAUGCUACCUUUUCCAGAGAAAUUCUGCAGCGAAUGGGAUACUGGCCUCCAUGGUGCUAUUUUCUCAGCUGGUGAGAUGCCUGUUGUCAUUAGUUCGAGCUUUGCAUUCCUGAGCUUUAGUGAAAGCAGGUCAGGACAGAGAGAACUAGACAAAGGGAAUACACUUCUAUUGUAGCAGUGUCAAGACAUUCAACCUCAUGAAAUCUGAGCUCUAUAAUGCUAGAAAGUAAAAGUGAAAACUGGAAGCUGGCCAGGUAGGGAAGCUGCAGCAGUAUCUCAAAUACAGAGCCAUAGUGCUAAAGAAAAUGUUGCAAAAUUCACACAGUUUGCUUUCUUGGAUCUUCCUGAAUCUGAAGGAUUUCUGAAUUGUUUGGGCAUGAGAACAAAGAAAGGAGGAAUACAUCAUGUGCAACACUGCAGAAGUUCUACGUACAUAGACCCUUUCUAAUGUAGGGAGAGAGCAGAGGGCUGGAUGAUGUGAGAUUGAGGUUCCUGCAGCUUGUGGUACUCAGGAUUCUGUCGAUGUGACAGAGGCUGUAUGUAAUGAGUUUAUCUGAAAAACCCUCUUCUGGAUUUGAAAUAGUUUACACUUUAUAUUAGCCAAACCAUUUUUUUUUGUUGAAAAUUUUCAACAAAACAUACCGACAUGCAAAACUGGAAGAAAGCACAUAACCAUAUGUCUAGUUUGGCCUAAUGGCAAUCAGUCAAAGUGCAUGGUAGAACGGCAAGCUUAACGAGAUGCUCAAUUCAUAUGAACUGUUACUGAGGGACCACUGGAUACUUGCUUUCUGAAUUGAAUGGUUUUAUAAAAAUGUGGCUCCAGUUCUGGGUGAUGGGUGCCUUUUAACGGUUCAUACAAACUGUGUUUAAAAAUAAUUUGGCUUUGUUUUUAGCAUUUCUCAGUUAACCAAAAUAUGAUACAACUUAAAAUGUGAUCUGUGCUGAAUUUGGAAAGAACUGUCAUGUAUCUGCCUAUUUCAGUAAAACUGUGACAUCUCCCAUGCUUCAUAUGAGAACUCACGCCACGCUGUCUUCUGCAUGCACAUAUACUGUCUCUCUCUCUCCUGUCAAAUAGCUGUGUAGUUGUGGUAUCAAAGCAGUGGAUACAACAGUGUAAGGAACAGGAUUCAUGGAUAUGUAGGUUCUUGUAUUCCUGGGUCUCAGUCACUUGCAGAUGGUCAGACUAGACAAGUUCUGAGCUCCUUUGGCAGGCAGAUCCAAAGCUUAGGACCCUGAACUUGAAAUGUCUUCUUAGGUCCCAAUUCUGCUCCUAUUUAAGUCAAUGGCAGAACUCUCACUGAUUUCAAUAAGAGCAGAAUUGGGCCCCAAGAAAUUGGUCCACAUAGCAACUAAUCUCCUGUGGGUUCAUUCUCUCCAGCAGACCUUAUGGCAUCGUGAUGGCAUGCUAGCCUGCAC
This is a long non-coding RNA of Numida meleagris (helmeted guineafowl), 1809 nucleotides long. RefSeq lists it as uncharacterized. NCBI's taxonomy places the organism in Eukaryota, Metazoa, Chordata, Aves, Galliformes, Numididae. The transcript is spliced from 4 exons. The record is from RefSeq and is a predicted model, not a curated record.